Molecule: non-coding RNA, 156 nt
Filed under: bacterium
Lineage: Bacteria
Also listed under: 2 other names
Description: 6S RNA
Rfam family: 6S / SsrS RNA
About the family: E. coli 6S RNA was the first non coding RNA to be sequenced, but its function was unknown until recently. It consists of 184 nucleotides that fold into an extended hairpin structure with a large single-stranded internal bulge. The 6S RNA specifically associates with RNA polymerase holoenzyme containing the sigma70 specificity factor.
Source: RNAcentral
CGUUCUCUGCCGUGCUCGUGAUGGGUAUUUAGUCUUGAGCCAACACCCAUCUUUAGGGAGCUUGGUUCGGCUAUAGGUAUUUGCUUGUAGCCGACUGGCGCCCACCUUAAACCUGGGUUCAGAGACUUUUGCCCACACGGCACAGGCGGGGACAUU